RNAcentral lists this transfer RNA (85 nucleotides) under Candidatus Hydrogenedentota bacterium. RNAcentral describes it as "tRNA-Leu". It matches the Rfam family "tRNA". Rfam says of the family: Transfer RNA (tRNA) molecules are approximately 80 nucleotides in length. The record is from RNAcentral. Lineage: Bacteria; Pseudomonadati; Candidatus Hydrogenedentota.
GGGCGAGUGGCGGAAUUGGCAGACGCGCCAGAUUUAGGUUCUGGUACCUCGCGGUGUGCGGGUUCAAGUCCCGCCUCGCCCACCA